CACCAUCUAGGGCUGCUGUGUGGGGUACCACAGCAAUGAAGAGCCACUGAGCUCUUGAACAUACAGGUGUGCUUUAAGAUUUAUCACAAGCUUAACACCAUUCCAGACCAGAGUUAGUACGGGAAAGGAUGUAAAAAUUUAUGGAGGCCAUCCCUAAUCUGAAAAACCUGAAAUACAAAACACUUGGGAAUCCAAAACCUCUCGAUCACCUACAUGAUUCCAAUGAAAACAAGCAAGGAGAACCUGAAAUGUCUGUGAAGUCAUGUUCGGUCAACAAACCACUCAGCUGAUAAAAGCAAGAAUGCUAGCCCACAAACAAAGAGAUGUCUUCAGUGGAGCAGCUUCCAUGGAUCCGUGUUUUACCCUUUGGCCAUUCACAACCUCACCGUCUGCUGCUCAGGGCCUUCUUAUUUUGUGUUGCAGAAUAAGGAGACAAGACAACAAUGAAAACAGAGAGCCCAGGCCAGUAGCCAGGCAGGAAGUAUAGGUGGGACAGCCAGAAAUGGAGGACUUUGGGAAGAAGAAGGCAGAGUCAGAGGAGUCACCAGGAGCAACAGAGGAAACAGGACAUGCUGGAGGACAGUAUUCAUUUUCAUACCAUUUUGGCUGAACUAGGAAGUAGAAAAUUCCUGGACCAAAAGGGCUCCCCCAUCAGCUGUCUAAUUUGGGGUUGAUCAACUGGACUGCCCACCAGGACACUGUCUUAUUGGUUUUGCGCCAUCUGCUGGACUAUGCCUGAAGGUACAUAGUCUGUUCUGGAACUGCCAGAGUUAGAAAACCUGCCAGUCAUAGCCCUGUAGUGAAAGGAAGAAUGAUACGGCAAGGAAUGGCCAUCGGGAUUGUCAGCAUCAGGGAAGAGGAAAUGUUCCACAGAGAGCAACCAGAAAACCCUAACUUUAUCCAACUUGGUUGACUUGGUUAAACUUGACAUCCAUGGU
Long non-coding RNA from Peromyscus eremicus (cactus mouse), 938 nucleotides. RefSeq lists it as uncharacterized. The record is from RefSeq and is a predicted model, not a curated record. Lineage: Eukaryota; Metazoa; Chordata; Mammalia; Rodentia; Cricetidae. The transcript has 5 exons.